Long non-coding RNA from Panicum virgatum (switchgrass), 1785 nucleotides. RefSeq lists it as uncharacterized. The transcript has 5 exons. The record is from RefSeq and is a predicted model, not a curated record. NCBI's taxonomy places the organism in Eukaryota, Viridiplantae, Streptophyta, Magnoliopsida, Poales, Poaceae.
CAGUCCGCGUCCGAUCCUGUCCUCCUCCGAUCCGAUCUCGCCCGCCCGACGCGCUCCCCACACGCCGCAGCCGCCGCCGCAGUCCGCUUCCGAUCCCUGUCCUCCUCCGAUCCAAUCUCGCCCGCACGCCGCGCCCCCCGCACGGCGCCGCCGCCGCCGCCGCAGUCCGCGCCCGCCCUCGCAAUCGCCAACCCCCGCGCCCCGCCCUUCCCCUCGCCGCCUCGCGCCGCCGCAGCGCUCGCCCUCACAUCCGCUCGCCAAUCGCUUCCUCGGCUCCUCGCUCUCGCCCAGCGGACGCCGCUCGCCGCGUCCGACUCCGGCCUCUCCGACGAGUGCGGAUCACCGGCUUUCCGGUGCUGCACCGUCGACACAUUGUGCCCUCGCGCCGCCAGGCGGAACGACAGGCGCGGUGGCUUCUCCUCCCUGCGGCAGCAACACUGGUCGCGUUCCGCCAACAACGACAACAGCCGCAUCCAUUCCCCCGGUUGCAGCAUUUGGAUUUCUCCGCAAGCAAGUUCGGCUCCGUGCAGGCCUUGAGAUAUCCCUUUUCCUGCCCCUGCAAUAGGAGCAUGAUGAUCAUUCUUCAUAUGGAUAGAGGACCUAUAUACACUAAAAUUGGGUCAGAUUGUUCUAUUUCCUUGAACAAAAUGAACAGAUGUCGUGAUUGGAAAAAUCAGUGCUAGGAACUGAAUGGCAGCUAAUUUGGCCAACUGAUGGUUGUGCCAUGGUGGUCCCAUUUGCAGCAAACCGUCGUGUGUUUUGUCCUGCCCAAAAAGUUGUGGGGACAUUUCCAUCUUCAUGUUGCUGAGAGAGACAUACUUCGUAACACCAUCAAGAUAGAUACUUGGCAAGAAGCUUUUGGUGGUGCACAUGCAAGAUAUUGACAAUACUUUGCAUCAUACCUGGAGCUCUUGCAUCAUGGAUUCAUGGUGAACAGCGUGAGAUUGGGGAAUACUUUUUAAUGAUCUUAAUGACUAUGAUCAGAAAGCUCUCCUGUUUGCUGCAGGUCUGAUUGUCGCCUUCUCAGUUCUCACACAGCUGCAGCUUCCCUGUUACGAUGCAGUGGCAGCUCGGUAGCAGCACAGAGCUUGCAUGGCGUUUAUAAAAACUGAGCUUUGCUUCCACAACAUUUAAUAGUGGAUGCAAUCUGGAUAAGUGAUUCACUCUUCCCAAAUUCCCAUGUAUUCAUUCCCUUUGGCCAGGAGACUCAUGCAUGAAGUUGCAAUGAUAUGAAUAAAAUAUUUUUAGGUGUGAAAUGCAGCCUUCUAUAUUUUAGUUUGGUAGUGAUUUUCAAGUGAUUUUCUAGCUCUCCGAAACGUUUCCGCUAACUAAAAAAUUAGCGUAGCAUAAAUGCCAUGCAUUCUUUUCUGUAAGCUGAAAGUUCAGUAUUUCUAUUUCUUUAGGUGCUAUUUGUACUCCUCCAUGGUGUAUCUGAGCAGCUAUUUUUCAAUUUAGGUCACAUUGUUCCUGGUCCAAUUGAUUGUUGUAAGGCUAGACAAUAAGGCUUUCGUUAUCUAAGAGAGCAGUUCGUAGCUUCAGAAUUCAGCGUGCUUUUUGCUUCCAGUAUGGCUUUUUGCACAGUACGACUUCCAGUCAUGUGCUAUUUUGUCUUGCCAGGGGUUAUAUAUCUUAUAAACGCUAUUGAGAUGGAGUUGCUUAAGCUGCCCCAUGUAGACUAUGUGCACUCUCGAAGGAUGUAUACUGUAUUACUGUUUAUUAUACAUUUGGUUGUUAUGAUUUAUGGAUACACGAGAUUUGAUUAAAUAUUUACAGAUUGAGAUAAAA